RNAcentral lists this long non-coding RNA (263 nucleotides) under Carica papaya (papaya). Its description in RNAcentral is "long non-coding RNA (CPAP_LNC016523)". The record is from RNAcentral. Lineage: Eukaryota; Viridiplantae; Streptophyta; Magnoliopsida; Brassicales; Caricaceae.
UACCUUUCCUACUCCCUAAUUUUCAAAAUACACACACUCCGCCCCUACAUGCCUAACCUCUCUGUUAGUACUCAAUUCACUCUCUAUUCCUUCCUUCACUUCACCCCAAUUGUCUCAUAUUCCCAUCCUUUUCCUCCUAGAGGUAUCAAUCUCUCACAGCACCCCACCUCUCCCUAUCCUCCUCUUUCAGCUCCUACCCUACUACUCUCUAAUACCUAUUCUGUCCCUAACCACUCCUCUCUCUAUACCUCUCUUACCUCCCU